UGGGGAAUCUUGCACAAUGGGCGAAAGCCUGAUGCAGCGACGCCGCGUGCGGGAUGAAGGCCUUCGGGUUGUAAACCGCUUUCAGCAGGGGCGAGGCCGCAAGGGGACGGUACCUGCAGAAGAAGCCCCGGCUAACGACGUGCCAGCAGCCGCGGUAAUACGUAGGGGGAAAGCGUUAUCCGGAUUAAUUGGGCGUAAAGCGCGCGUAGGCGGUUUGUUAGGUCAGGAGUUAAAUCUGGGGGCUCAACCCCUAUCCGCUCCUGAUACCGGCAGGCUUGAGUCUGGUAGGGGAAGGCGGAAUUCCAAGUGUAGCGGUGAAAUGCGCAGAUAUUUGGAAGAACACCGGUGGCGAAGGCGGCCUUCUGGGCCACGACUGACGCUGAGGCGCGAAAGCUAGGGGAGCGAACAGG
RNAcentral lists this ribosomal RNA (410 nucleotides) under Verrucomicrobiota bacterium. RNAcentral's name for it is "Verrucomicrobia bacterium partial 16S ribosomal RNA". It matches the Rfam family "Bacterial small subunit ribosomal RNA", at positions 355 to 776 of the family's 1533-position model. The record is from RNAcentral. Lineage: Bacteria; Pseudomonadati; Verrucomicrobiota.